GCCGGAAUAGCUCAGUUGGGAGAGCGUCAGACUGAAGAUCUGAAGGUCCCUGGUUUAAUCCCGGGUUCCGGAA
Molecule: transfer RNA, 73 nt
Filed under: Patiria miniata (bat star)
Lineage: Eukaryota; Metazoa; Echinodermata; Asteroidea; Valvatida; Asterinidae
Description: tRNA-Phe
Rfam family: tRNA
About the family: Transfer RNA (tRNA) molecules are approximately 80 nucleotides in length. Their secondary structure includes four short double-helical elements and three loops (D, anti-codon, and T loops). Further hydrogen bonds mediate the characteristic L-shaped molecular structure. tRNAs have two regions of fundamental functional importance: the anti-codon, which is responsible for specific mRNA codon recognition, and the 3' end, to which the tRNAs corresponding amino acid is attached (by aminoacyl-tRNA synthetases). tRNAs cope with the degeneracy of the genetic code in two manners: having more than one tRNA (with a specific anti-codon) for a particular amino acid; and 'wobble' base-pairing, i.e. permitting non-standard base-pairing at the 3rd anti-codon position.
Source: Rfam by way of RNAcentral